This 1183-nucleotide long non-coding RNA is filed under the name Oryctolagus cuniculus (rabbit). RNAcentral describes it as "lncRNA (ENSOCUG00000035906.1)". Lineage: Eukaryota; Metazoa; Chordata; Mammalia; Lagomorpha; Leporidae. The record is from RNAcentral.
AAACACUGUCUUAAUAAACCAUCUCCUCCACCUUCUUUAUUUUGUAAGCAGAAGUGGAAAUGGGUAGGCGAAGACAGGCGACUUGCUAAAGGUCACCCGGCUGCCAUUCAGACUCGCGAGUGUUCAGCACUUUCCACUGUCCUUGGAAGAUUCACACUGGUCUUGCUGCCUCUUUUUUUUUUUUUUUUUUUUUUUUCUCUUUCAGCAGAAUGGUUGGAGGUAGUGGAGUGUGGGAGGAAGGGGAGAGAGUCUAGAGAGAAAGCCCCUGAAAAGGACCCAGUGACUAGGAAGGGAAGAAGAGUCUACUGCUCUUUCUAUGGAACUAGACAUAAGCUACCCACACUGAUACCGGGAAGGAUGGUAACUCAGCUCUGCUCAGCGAAGACCAAAGAGUCUUUGACAGACAGCACACCCCUUCUCUUCAUGGAGGGCAUGCUUCUCCCCAUCCAUGGGUGUACCUGUGGCUGCUCUCUUUUUUUAAUAAUUGACAUAUACUAAUUGUAUGUUACCUAUUGAGUACAGCAGCAUGAUGUUUCAAUACAUGUCCACAUUGUGUAAUAAUCAAAAUAGGGUGCUUAGCAUAUCCACUAGCUUGUGUCUUUGUGAUAAGAAAAAUCAGAAUCUUUUCUUCUAGCUCUUUGGAAAUAUUCAAUACACAAUUGUGCAGCAUUGUCACCCUGUGUGCAACAGAACACCAAAAUUUAUUCAUCCCACCUAACGGUGAGCCUGUACCUGUUCACUGACCUCUGCCUACCCCUUCUCCUCUCUACUCACCCCAGCCUCUGGAAGCCACCAUGGUACUCUCUGCUUCUGUGAGAGCGACAUUUUUCAAGUUCACUCAUGUGUAAGAUCAUGUGUGUUUGUCUUCUUAUGCUUGGCUUAUUUCACUUAUUUUUUUUAAAGAUUUAUUUAUUUAUUUGAAAGUCAGAGUUACACACACACACACACACACACACACACAGAAGUCUUCCAUCCAUUGGUUCAUUCCCCAGUUGGCCUCAACGGCCAGAGCUGCGCCUAUCCGAAGCCAGGAGCCAGGAGCUUCUUCCGGGUCUCCUAUGUGGGUGCAGGGACCCAAGGACUUGGACCAUCUUCCACUGCCUUCCCAGGCAAUAGCAGAGAGCUAUUGGCUACAUAUACAUAUAACAAACUAAUAAAUAAACUAUGUUCAUGGGUAUAUACA